RNAcentral lists this long non-coding RNA (447 nucleotides) under Chrysolophus pictus (golden pheasant). Its description in RNAcentral is "lncRNA (ENSCPIG00010010197.1)". The record is from RNAcentral. Lineage: Eukaryota; Metazoa; Chordata; Aves; Galliformes; Phasianidae.
GGGCGCCUGAGGGACACGCGCUUUGGAGCGUGGGUUUGCGUUUGCGUGUCCGUUGGGAUGAGGGGCUGUGAGCGGUGCUGAGCUGGUUUAGUUACUCGUCCCUGGAAGUCUCCUGAGCAGAGGAUAUCAGCUUCUCCAGGAGCUCUAGGCAGUGAGAAGAAGAUGAGAAUUACGGGAGUGGCUGCCUUCAUUGGAUUUUGGCGUAUGCUUCUUCCGCAAUGAAUGCAAGUGUUGGGAAGGAAAAAAAAAGAUAGCCGAUUUGCAAAGAGUGACAUAUGCAACAAGAAAAUACAAAACAAAAACCCCACAUGAUACGAGAAGGAGCUUACAACGUGAGAUCUCAAAACUUAAAAAAAUGAUUCUGAAUUAUUGAAACUUCAAUCAAGCCCUAAUGUAAUACUUGACCUUACAAUGGGCCAGAAAAAAACCCAGAUCAGAGCACUGCCA